This is a long non-coding RNA of Bubalus bubalis (water buffalo), 1593 nucleotides long. RefSeq lists it as uncharacterized. Lineage: Eukaryota; Metazoa; Chordata; Mammalia; Artiodactyla; Bovidae. The transcript is spliced from 2 exons. The record is from RefSeq and is a predicted model, not a curated record.
UAAGUUUACAAGCAGCAGCAGAAGUACCAAGCCUGUGGGGUGUGGGAGGAGCUGCCCACCGAGCGAGACUCUGAGUAAACAUGUGUGGUGACUUGUGCUGUCUCCUCCAGAAGCCAUGUGACUGGAAAGUCUAGUUCUGAGAUAAGCAUCUGCAGGGCGGUCCCAGGGAGCAGCCCCAGCUCCAACAGAGCCCUCUGGCCUGGCGUAGCCCUGCGUCUCCUCUGGUGACUAAGGGAAGGACACUGCUAUCCAGGCGGGUGUGGAAGCUGAUGGGACCCCGGAAGACCCCUGCCUGCCCCUGCCUGCCUGCUCAGAACUGAGGCCUCAGGCGUUAAAAGGAAAGAAAAAGACUAUCAUGUCCUCACUCUAGUUUCCCUCUGAUGGACUAGAGGCUUUUGGCUCCAUUGUGUCUCCUUAAAACUGUCCUCUAACAGCCAUUUCAAGGGUUUAUAUUGUCUCAUCUCCCACAAAAUUCUUUUUCAUAUGAGGCUUCUCAGGGUACCAUUUUUUUGAUACCAGUGAGACCUGGAUCAUCAAAAGAUGAAGCCCAAAGUCCUGUGAACCAGUGGUGGGGAAAUGAAGUUACCACUAGCAUAUGUAUCCUUGGAGGGUUUCAGAUCCCUUUCAGAUGGCAACACCCAGGAGCUUUCUCCACACUCAGUCCUUACAUCUCACGACAAAAUGCGCAGCAAAAACAACUGAGAAGAACAGAGCAACUAGAUGGCGCACCGCCUCCCACAGCACCUCUAAAAUGUCUGAAUCUUGAAACGGGCCUCUUGUCUGCACCUUGUUUGGUUCACGGUAAAUUCCCAACAAAUCUGGACUAAUAAAAGGUCCUUAAGAAGUGAGUCUGCAGAGUUACAAAUUUUAGACAGAUGUCUGGAGCCAGACUAACAACAAGGAACUGACUUUUCCUCUUUGGCACCACAAGACGGUUGUGUAACAGGUUCAAGCUGAUGGGACAGCUAUUUAAGCCAGAGUAAUACACUACAACCGAUGCUUUUGAAAACCAUGAAAAACCCAGCUCCAAAACUUCCAAUAGCUUGUUGAGGUUUUCUUUAACCCUCCAAAUGAGGAUCAGUCAACAUCAGUACAGAAAAAAUUUUACCCACAAAAAAUGUUUAUAGUCAAGUCUACUAAUACUGGUUUAUUUGCAGCCCAAACUCUCUGAAGACAGCAAACAGUGGUAUUGGCUGCCCUCUGCAGUGAGCUGGUGAAUUCAGCAAAAUAUCAGGAUCAAGAAAAUGCCAAAUGCAUGUAACUAAUUCUCCUUGAAAUCCAGAAAUGCUGGCAAAAGAAUGAGUUCUUAUGUCUAGGAUUAAAAAAAAUAAAAAAAAUAAAAAAAUAAAGUUGAGGGUGUAUGGGAAAGUAACACACCACCUCCAAAUCACUCAACCCUAACCUGAUGUUCAACUGCGAGGUUAGGGUAAGCUUGCCUGUUGGUUUUGAGAUGUUAAAGUCAAGUUCUAGGUGAGAUCCUUUGUUGCUGAAUCACAAAUCAACCACAGCAGCAAUACUUAGAUGCUUUUCAGAGAGUUCUCUAGACUGAGAACUUCCAUGGUAUGUGUUUUUAAAAUAUGUCUAUAAAUUAUU